AAUUAAGAAGGUGAUGGAGUUCACCUGAAUCACUUUUAGUUAAUGACUCCUGUAGAAUU
This 59-nucleotide non-coding RNA is filed under the name Acetobacterium woodii. Its description in RNAcentral is "Fluoride sequence". It matches the Rfam family "Fluoride riboswitch aptamer (crcB RNA motif)". The record is from RNAcentral. RNAcentral also lists the same sequence under 1 other name. Lineage: Bacteria; Bacillati; Bacillota; Clostridia; Eubacteriales; Eubacteriaceae.